This 253-nucleotide ribosomal RNA is filed under the name uncultured bacterium. Its description in RNAcentral is "partial 16S ribosomal RNA". It matches the Rfam family "Bacterial small subunit ribosomal RNA", at positions 524 to 776 of the family's 1533-position model. The record is from RNAcentral.
GACGAACCGUCCAAACGUUAUUCGGAAUCACUGGGCUUAAAGGGUGCGUAGGCGGCGCGGAAAGUUGGGUGUGAAAUCCCUCGGCUCAACCGAGGAACUGCGCCCAAAACUACCGUGCUCGAGGAAGAUAGAGGUGAGCGGAACUUAGGGUGGAGCGGUGAAAUGCGUAGAUAUUGGGAGGAACACCAGUGGCGAAGGCGGCUCACUGGACCGGUACUGACGCUGAUGCGCGAAAGCGUGGGGAGCAAACGGG